This 635-nucleotide long non-coding RNA is filed under the name Lytechinus variegatus (green sea urchin). RNAcentral's name for it is "uncharacterized LOC121420985, transcript variant X1". The record is from RNAcentral. Lineage: Eukaryota; Metazoa; Echinodermata; Echinoidea; Temnopleuroida; Toxopneustidae.
UGCAGCGAGCAGGCGGUACAAGGCUACAUGGCGCGGUAUGCUACUUUCCAACGCCUCGGACGUCAACCAACUUGCCAGGAUUUCGCCCGUAUACACAAUGGUGGUCCAGAUGGCUAUGACGAAGAUGGUACCUUGGGAUAUUGGGAAAACGCUUUUGGUCGUUAUGAAGAGUGCCGAUGUGCAGCAGGUGAACCACACAAAUGGGGAGAAGAGGAAGAAAGAGAUAGGGGGACAGCAACUGGAGGGAGAUGGAAGUCCAGACACUCUGCCCCUGUCUGCCAUUGAAGAAGAAGCCUCUCUUUGGAUCAGGGGGUCAAGCUUCUAGUAUGAAGAUUGUUCAAGAGUCACGACUGUUGAAGAGGUGACGUCAUGGACCUGGUAGCACCUGGCUAUGGAACUAUUUUACUGUUCACACUCAAGUAUCAUAAAAACGCUUUAAAAAUUUGAACAUUAACAAAAGUACUAAUUUUCAUUUUUCAAAGAUAAUAAUCAUUAUAUUGACAUUGUGGAUAUGUUUUAUGAUUAUUAUGAAAUUAUUAUAAUGUUGAUAAUGAUAAAAAUUAACUAUAAGUAGAAAAGAAGACAACCAAGAAGGAGGAGGAGAAUAAGAAUAAAUUACAACACUGUGAGUUCCU